Molecule: ribosomal RNA, 204 nt
Filed under: Escherichia coli
Lineage: Bacteria; Pseudomonadati; Pseudomonadota; Gammaproteobacteria; Enterobacterales; Enterobacteriaceae
Description: partial 23S ribosomal RNA
Rfam family: Bacterial large subunit ribosomal RNA
Source: RNAcentral
CGAUAGUGAACCAGUACCGUGAGGGAAAGGCGAAAAGAACCCCGGCGAGGGGAGUGAAAAAGAACCUGAAACCGUGUACGUACAAGCAGUGGGAGCACGCUUAGGCGUGUGACUGCGUACCUUUUGUAUAAUGGGUCAGCGACUUAUAUUCUGUAGCAAGGUUAACCGAAUAGGGGAGCCGAAGGGAAACCGAGUCUUAACUGG